Brachypodium distachyon (stiff brome) is the source of this 1283-nucleotide long non-coding RNA. RefSeq lists it as uncharacterized. The transcript is spliced from 5 exons. The record is from RefSeq and is a predicted model, not a curated record. Lineage: Eukaryota; Viridiplantae; Streptophyta; Magnoliopsida; Poales; Poaceae.
AUGCAAUUAAUCUAACACUCAUGCCUGCAAGUGUACAGACAUUCUUUUGAGAUUAAUGAUGGCACACUAACACUACAGUUUAGUUCUGUUAGUGAUAUAUUUACCUGAUGGUGAUGGCUAGGUAUUUCUAUAUUUCGUUGUUGAACUCCAACGCUUUUGUUUUCAUGCGGCUGUUUUCAGUCUUUUUUUGACGAAAAGGAUACAGCGAUCCAUUCAUUGCCAAAGAGGGUCGCGCGAUGCGGCCCGGGAACAAAAGUUAAGAAAGUACAAAACUCACGAGAAAGAGGGGGGGAGACAAACACAGAAGCUCACAAAAAACACAGGAGAGCUAAAUCUAAGGAACAUCAUCCGGCCCAGAGCAAAGCACUCCAAUACCAGCGCCAGCCUGCUUCCACACCGCAGCCUCCUCCUUGAUGAUGCUGAGGACACCUUCCUUGGGCCGCAAUUUAUUCUGAAACAUCCGACGAUUUCUUUCCUUCCAAGUUUCCCAGAGAACGAGCAAAGAGAUCGAGGCGACAACCUUUCCCAGCUCCUUCCCUUGCAGGCUGUUUUCAGUCUGAAACUGAACUUUGCAACACUCUGGUAGGAGUAAUCGAAGGCGCAAUAGUCUGAGGAACAAAGGCUUUCUGGCAGACAUCACCAUUUUGGUGUCUAAACACAUUGUUCGACAAAGAGAGCUGGUGUGCGCGCCAUGGUUCCAAGUGAAGAAGAAACAAUUCUUCCACAACUACAUGAUUAUUACAUUGUUUGCUGUAGUUGGGACCUUCAUGUCUUUCAGUAUAAUUUCCCUCGGUGCUAUGGGGAUAAUAUAAAAGCCGAACAUGGUGCCCUUGAGAUUGGGGACUUCCUACUUUCUCAACCAGUUUUUGGAGGAAACCGAUGCAAUUAUUUUAAAAUUGCUUCAGCUCAAGACAUUGUUUCCGAUCUGGAUAUCCUAUGAGAGGCGAUGCUGAUUUUUUUUAAACCUAAGUUCGAGCUGAAAUAGAGGUGCCAGACCGACAGAGAUGAAGACUUAUCUAAAAGCACGGUAACAGAUGUGAUUGAGCCAAGUGAGCCUUAGAGUGCCAUGGAAGGAUUAGUGAGUGAGUUCUCUCUCUCAGCAUCCUUGUUAGAGUUUUAGAUAUAGUUAUUACAGUGGAUAAAAUCAUGGGCUAGAGAACAUGGCUUGGUCAUAAUUUUUUACAUGGUCACUGCCCAGAAAUUCUAUAGGUGUACACUCAGUGGACACUUCCAUUGUUGGAGAGGAUGAUCUUAUGAAUAACAUGAACUAUGUUUCUGUGCGA